Molecule: ribosomal RNA, 402 nt
Filed under: uncultured bacterium
Lineage: Bacteria
Description: partial 16S ribosomal RNA
Rfam family: Bacterial small subunit ribosomal RNA
Source: RNAcentral
UGGGGAAUAUUGCAGCAAUGGGCGCAAGCCUGAUGCAGCCAUGCCGCGUGUGUGAAGAAGGCCUUCGGUUGUAAGCACUUUCAGCGAGGAGGAAGGUGGUGAGCUUAAUACGCUCAUCAAUUGACGUUACUCGCAGAAGAAGCACCGGCUAACUCCGUGCCAGCAGCCGCGGUAAUACGGAGGGUGCAAGCGUUAAUCGGAAUUACUGGGCGUAAAGCGCACGCAGGCGGUUUGUUAAGUCAGNUGUGAAAUCCCCCGGGCUCAACCUGGGAACUGCAUUUGAAACUGGCAAGCUAGAGUCUCGUAGAGGGGGGUAGAAUUCCAGGUGUAGCGGUGAAAUGCGUAGAGAUCUGGAGGAAUACCGGUGGCGAAGGCGGCCCCCUGGACGAAGACUGACGCUCA